Molecule: transfer RNA, 71 nt
Filed under: Marmota monax (woodchuck)
Lineage: Eukaryota; Metazoa; Chordata; Mammalia; Rodentia; Sciuridae
Description: tRNA.Thr
Rfam family: tRNA
About the family: Transfer RNA (tRNA) molecules are approximately 80 nucleotides in length. Their secondary structure includes four short double-helical elements and three loops (D, anti-codon, and T loops). Further hydrogen bonds mediate the characteristic L-shaped molecular structure. tRNAs have two regions of fundamental functional importance: the anti-codon, which is responsible for specific mRNA codon recognition, and the 3' end, to which the tRNAs corresponding amino acid is attached (by aminoacyl-tRNA synthetases). tRNAs cope with the degeneracy of the genetic code in two manners: having more than one tRNA (with a specific anti-codon) for a particular amino acid; and 'wobble' base-pairing, i.e. permitting non-standard base-pairing at the 3rd anti-codon position.
Source: RNAcentral
GGGGUUGUGGCUCAGUGGUAGAGCACUCGCCUUGUACAUGUGAGAACCUGGGUUCAAUCCUCAGCACCACA